GCAUAUCAAUAAGCGGAGGAAAAGAAACCAACAGGGAUUGCCCCCAGUAACGGCGAAGUGAAGCGGCAAGAAGCUCAAAUUUGAAAGCUGGCCCCCGCGGGGUCCGCGUUGUAAUUUGCAGAAGGAUGCUUCGGGUGCGGCCCCCGUCUAAGUGCCCUGGAACGGGCCGUCAUAGAGGGUGAGAAUCCCGUCUGGGACGGGGAGUCCGCGCCCGUGUGAAGCUCCUUCGACGAGUCGAGUUGUUUGGGAAUGCAGCUCUAAAUGGGUGGUAAAUUUCAUCUAAAGCUAAAUAUUGGCCGGAGACCGAUAGCGCACAAGUAGAGUGAUCGAAAGAUGAAAAGCACUUUGAAAAGAGAGUGAAACAGCACGUGAAAUUGUUGAAAGGGAAGCGCUUGCGACCAGACUCGCCCGCGGGGUUCAGCCGGCAUUCGUGCCGGUGUACUUCCCCGCGGGCGGGCCAGCGUCGGUUUGGGCGGCCGGUCAAAGGCCCCUGGAAUGUAACGCCUCUCGGGGCGUCUUAUAGCCAGGGGUGCCAUACGGCCAGCCCGGACCGAGGACCGCGCUUCGGCACGGACGCUGGCAUAAUGGUCGUAAGCGACCCGUCUUGAAACACGGACCAAGGAGUCUAACAUCUACGCGAGUGUUCGGGUGUCAAACCCGUGCGCGCAGUGAAAGCGAACGGAGGUGGGAACCCGUCCGGGUGCACCAUCGACCGAUCCUGAUGUCUUCGGAUGGAUUUGAGUAGGAGCGUAGCUGUUGGGACCCGAAAGAUGGUGAACUAUGCCUGAAUAGGGCGAAGCCAGAGGAAACUCUGGUGGAGGCUCGCAGCGGUUCUGACGUGCAAAUCGAUCGUCAAAUUUGGGUAUAGGGGGCGAAAGACUAAUCGAACCAUCUAGUAGCUGGUUCUGC
This 909-nucleotide ribosomal RNA is filed under the name Penicillium inusitatum. RNAcentral's name for it is "LSU rRNA". It matches the Rfam family "Eukaryotic large subunit ribosomal RNA", at positions 38 to 960 of the family's 3401-position model. Lineage: Eukaryota; Fungi; Ascomycota; Eurotiomycetes; Eurotiales; Aspergillaceae. The record is from RNAcentral.